GGCGGCGUGCUUAACACAUGCAAGUCGAGCGAAGCGCUUAAGUUUGAUUCUUCGGAUGAAGACUUUUGUGACUGAGCGGCGGACGGGUGAGUAACGCGUGGGUAACCUGCCUCAUACAGGGGGAUAACAGUUAGAAAUGACUGCUAAUACCGCAUAAGACCACGGUACCGCAUGGUACAGUGGUAAAAACUCCGGUGGUAUGAGAUGGACCCGCGUCUGAUUAGGUAGUUGGUGGGGUAACGGCCUACCAAGCCGACGAUCAGUAGCCGGCCUGAGAGGGUGAACGGCCACAUUGGGACUGAGACACGGCCCAAACUCCUACGGGAGGCAGCAGUGGGGAAUAUUGCACAAUGGGGGAAACCCUGAUGCAGCGACGCCGCGUGAGUGAUGAAGUAUUUCGGUAUGUAAAACUCUAUCAGCAGGGAAGAUAAUGACGGUACCUGACUAAGAAGCACCGGCUAAAUACGUGCCAGCAGCCGCGGUAAUACGUAUGGUGCAAGCGUUAAUCCGGAUUUACUGGGUGUAAAGGGAGCGUAGACGGCACGGCAAGCCAGAUGUGAAAGCCCGGGGCUCAACCCCAGGGACUGCAUUUGGAACUGCUGAGCUAGAGUGUCGGAGAGGCAAGUGGAAUUCCUAGUGUAGCGGUGAAAUGCGUAGAUAUUAGGAGGAACACCAGUGGCGAAGGCGGCUUGCUGGACGAUGACUGACGUUGAGGCUCGAAAGCGUGGGGAGCAAACAGGAUUAGACACCCUGGUAGUCCACGCCGUAAACGAUGACUGCUUGGUGUCGGGGGGCAAGCCCAUUCGGUGCCGCAGCUAACGCAAUAAGCAUUCCCCCCUGGGGAGUACGUUCGCAAGAAUGAAACUCAAAGGAAUUGACGGGGACCCGCACAAGCGGUGGAGCAUGUGGUUUAAUUCGAAGCAACGCGAAGAACCUUACCUGAUCUUGACAUCCCGAUGACCGCUUCGUAAUGGAAGCUUUUCUUCGGAACAUCGGUGACAGGUGGUGCAUGGUUGUCGUCAGCUCGUGUCGUGAGAUGUUGGGUUAAGUCCCGCAACGAGCGCAACCCCUAUCUUCAGUAGCCAGCAGGUUAAGCUGGGCACUCUGGAGAGACUGCCAGGGAUAACCUGGAGGAAGGUGGGGAUGACGUCAAAUCAUCAUGCCCCUUAUGACCAGGGCUACACACGUGCUACAAUGGCGUAAACAAAGAGAAGCAAACUCGCGAGGGUAAGCAAAUCUCAAAAAUAACGUCUCAGUUCGGAUUGUAGUCUGCAACUCGACUACAUGAAGCUGGAAUCGCUAGUAAUCGCAGAUCAGAAUGCUGCGGUGAAUACGUUCCCGGGUCUUGCACACAACGCCCGUCA
RNAcentral lists this ribosomal RNA (1364 nucleotides) under uncultured bacterium. Its description in RNAcentral is "bacterial SSU rRNA". It matches the Rfam family "Bacterial small subunit ribosomal RNA", at positions 38 to 1399 of the family's 1533-position model. The record is from RNAcentral.